This 1348-nucleotide long non-coding RNA is filed under the name Equus asinus (donkey). Its description in RNAcentral is "lncRNA (ENSEASG00005035228.1)". Lineage: Eukaryota; Metazoa; Chordata; Mammalia; Perissodactyla; Equidae. The record is from RNAcentral.
AUUCCUUGGCUUGUGGCGCCACCCUUCAUCUCUCUCUCUCUCUCUCUCUCUCUCUCUCUCUCUCUCUCUCUCUCUCUCUCUCUCUCUCUCUCUCUCGUGAUUACAUUGGGCCCACCUGGCUAAUCCAGGAUGAUCUCCCCAUCUCAAGAUACUUAAUCUCCUCUGCAAAGUCCCUUUUGCCAGGUAAGGUAACAUAGUCACAGGUUUUGGAGAUUAGGAUGUGGGCAUCUUUGUGGGGCCAUUAUUCCGCCUACUAGAAUAAUGAUGGUCGCUGUGUCUUCCUCAUUCUGUAUCCUCCAGACCCCCAGGGGAGAGAGAUGCCUUUCCCAGAACCACUGGACUCCAGAGACCAAGCUCCCAGGCAAAGACAGAACAGGACCACCCUGGCUGCUGGACCUCCCUGCCGUGCACUUCAAGUGGCAAUUAUCAGCCCUGAGCUAACAUCUGCCGCCAAUGCUCCUCUUCUUGCUGAGGAAGACUGGCCCUGAGCUAACAUCUGUGCCCAUCUUCCUCUACUUUCUAUGUGGGACGCCUGCCACAGCAUGGCUUGACAAGUGAUGCGUAGGGCUGUAUCUGGGAUCUGAACUGGUGAACCCCAGGUCGCAAAGUGGAAGGUGGUCACGAAGUGGAAGGUGCGAACUUAACUGCUAUGCCACAGGGCCAGCCGCAGGAAUAAUAAACUUGAAGAAAGAGUGCCUUUGUGGACCUGCGGGCAAGACAUCUGGGGCCUUGAGCACCAGGCCACACCCAUUCCUAGUGCCUCAUGGGACCCUCCUCCUGGGAAGGAUGACUCUAAUAAAACUCUUCCCCCGUGUCAGGCAUCCACGUGUACUUUUCACUUUUCGUCAGCCCCCAGGAGGUCACCCUCUGGGUCCCAUUUUACCAAUGCAGAAUCUGGGGCUGAGGGAUGGGACUGAAUGACUGGCCCAGGAUUAUGGGCUGGGGACCAGCAGAGCCAGGAUCUGAACCCUGGCCUGCCCGAUGCCACAGUCUGCACCCUUUCCAUGAACUCCGGGUGCCCAAGUGGGGAGAAAUGCAGAUGCAGAGACACCAGGGAGGAGGGCGUGGCCACACCCUGCCCAGAAAAGCACUGACUGCGGCGGAGCCGAGGCGGAGGGUGGGGUGGGGAUGACGGCGACCUCUGCCAGUUCCCGGUAGCAGAGAAUUCUAGAGCUCCCUGCACCCCUGCAUGCCAGAACAACGCGUUUAUAAAGGGAAGAGGGCAGGGUGCUGAUGAUUCAGGAAAUCUGCAGCCGAGUUAAAUGAGGGCCUCAUAAUGAUGGUGAUUAAAAAUUAACGCCACUGUUUGUUUAGUGAUUUGCGCGUCCACUUUGCAGCCACAAAUUAA